UACGUAGGGUGCGAGCGUUAAUCGGAAUUACAGGGCGUAAAGCGUGCGUAGGCGGUUCGUUAAGUUCGUUGUGAAAGCCCCGGGCUCAACCUGGGAACUGCAAUGGAAACUGGCGGGCUUGAGUAUGGCAGAGGGGGGUGGAAUUCCGCGUGUAGCAGUGAAAUGCGUAGAGAUGCGGAGGAACACCGAUGGCGAAGGCAGCCCCCUGGGUUAGCACUGACGCUCAUACACGAAAGCGUGGGGAG
Molecule: ribosomal RNA, 245 nt
Filed under: uncultured Zoogloea sp.
Lineage: Bacteria; Pseudomonadati; Pseudomonadota; Betaproteobacteria; Rhodocyclales; Zoogloeaceae
Description: partial 16S ribosomal RNA
Rfam family: Bacterial small subunit ribosomal RNA
Source: RNAcentral